UUUAAAGAGAGUUUGAUCCUGGCUCAGGACGAACGCUGGCGGCGUGCCUAAUACAUGCAAGUCGAACGAACGGAGGAAGAGCUUGCUCUUCCAAAGUUAGUGGCGGACGGGUGAGUAACACGUGGGCAACCUGCCUGUAAGUUGGGGAUAACUCCGGGAAACCGGGGCUAAUACCGAAUAAUAAGUGGUGGCGCAUGCCACGGCUUUGAAAGAUGGUUUCGGCUAUCGCUUACAGAUGGGCCCGCGGUGCAUUAGCUAGUUGGUAGGGUAAUGGCCUACCAAGGCAACGAUGCAUAGCCGACCUGAGAGGGUGAUCGGCCACACUGGGACUGAGACACGGCCCAGACUCCUACGGGAGGCAGCAGUAGGGAAUCUUCCGCAAUGGACGAAAGUCUGACGGAGCAACGCCGCGUGUAUGAAGAAGGUUUUCGGAUCGUAAAGUACUGUUGUUAGAGAAGAACAAGGAUAAGAGUAACUGCUUGUCCCUUGACGGUAUCUAACCAGAAAGCCACGGCUAACUACGUGCCAGCAGCCGCGGUAAUACGUAGGUGGCAAGCGUUGUCCGGAUUUAUUGGGCGUAAAGCGCGCGCAGGCGGU
This 597-nucleotide ribosomal RNA is filed under the name Listeria welshimeri. RNAcentral describes it as "bacterial SSU rRNA". It matches the Rfam family "Bacterial small subunit ribosomal RNA", at positions 1 to 579 of the family's 1533-position model. Lineage: Bacteria; Bacillati; Bacillota; Bacilli; Caryophanales; Listeriaceae. The record is from RNAcentral.